GAAAUUGGACAAUGGCGAAAGCCUGAUCCAGCGAUGCCGCGUGUGUGAAGAAGGCCUGCGGGUUGUAAAGCACUUCAGUAGGGAAGAGAAAGCCGAGUGCCAAUACCACUCGGUCUGACGUUACCUAAAAGAAGAAAGCACCGGCUAACUCCGUGCCAGCAGCCGCGGUAAUACGGAGGGUGCGAGCGUUAAUCGGAAUUACUGGGCGUAAAGGGCGCGUAGGCGGUGAAGUAAGUCGGGUGUGAAAGCCCCGGGCUCAACCUGGGAACUGCAUCCGAUACUGCUUCGCUAGAGUAUGGUAGAGGGAAGCGGAAUUCCGGGUGUAGCGGUGAAAUGCGUAGAUAUCCGGAGGAACACCAGUGGCGAAGGCGGCUUCCUGGACCAAUACUGACGCUGAGGCGCGAAAGCGUGGGGAGCAAACAGGAGUAGAGACCCUGGUAGUCCACGCCCUAGACUGGAGAGCUAGCCGUUGGAGGAGGGUAUCCUUAGGGCGCAGCUACGCGAUAAUUUCCGCCGGGGAGACGGCUCAAAUUAACCCC
RNAcentral lists this ribosomal RNA (539 nucleotides) under uncultured bacterium. RNAcentral's name for it is "bacterial SSU rRNA". It matches the Rfam family "Bacterial small subunit ribosomal RNA", at positions 359 to 873 of the family's 1533-position model. The record is from RNAcentral.